This 529-nucleotide ribosomal RNA is filed under the name Metschnikowia sp. UFMG-IA7.2. RNAcentral describes it as "eukaryotic LSU rRNA". It matches the Rfam family "Eukaryotic large subunit ribosomal RNA", at positions 55 to 652 of the family's 3401-position model. Lineage: Eukaryota; Fungi; Ascomycota; Pichiomycetes; Serinales; Metschnikowiaceae. The record is from RNAcentral.
GGAAAAGAAACCAACAGGGAUUGCCUCAGUAACGGCGAGUGAAGCGGCAAAAGCUCAAAUUUGAAAUCCCCCCGGGGAAUUGUAAUUUGAAGGAGGAACGGUUUGGCGUUGUGCACUUCAAAGUCCCUUGGAACAGGGCGCCUUAGAGGGUGAGAGCCCCGUACGAGGUUGCACAAUACCUUUUUACUGUUGCACCGACGAGUCGAGUUGUUUGGGAAUGCAGCUCAAAGUGGGUGGUAAAUUCCAUCUAAAGCUAAAUACCGGCGAGAGACCGAUAGCGAACAAGUACAGUGAUGGAAAGAUGAAAAGCACUUUGAAAAGAGAGUGAAAAAGUACGUGAAAUUGUUGAAAGGGAAGGGCUUGCAAGCAGACACGGUCCUCGUGGCCGGGCCAGCAUCGGUUGCCAGGGGUGGAUAAGGCGGCAGGAAUGUAGCUCACUGAGUAUUAUAUCCUGCUGAGAUACACCCACCGGCGACCGAGGCCUGCGAUUCGUUCUAGGAUGCUGGCGUAAUGGUUGCAAGCCGCCCGU